AACCCGACUACAUGAAGCCGGAAUCGCUAGUAAUCGCGGAUCAGAAUGCCGCGGUGAAUACGUUCCCGGGUCUUGUACACACCGCCCGUCACACCAUGGGAGUCGGAAAUGCCCGAAGUCAGUGACCCAACCGUAAGGAGGGAGCUGCCGAAGGUGGAGCCGGUAACUGGGGUGAAGUCGUAACAAGGUACC
RNAcentral lists this ribosomal RNA (192 nucleotides) under uncultured bacterium. RNAcentral's name for it is "partial 16S ribosomal RNA". It matches the Rfam family "Bacterial small subunit ribosomal RNA", at positions 1309 to 1500 of the family's 1533-position model. The record is from RNAcentral.